UACGUAGGGGGCUAGCGUUGUCCGGAAUCAUUGGGCGUAAAGCGCGUGUAGGCGGCUUGGUAAGUCCGUUCUGAAAGCCCGGGGCUCAACCCCGGGAGGCGGAUGGAUACUGUCAAGCUCGAGUCCGGAAGAGGCAAGUGGAAUUCCCGGUGUAGCGGUGAAAUGCGCAGAUAUCGGGAGGAACACCAAUAGCGAAGGCAGCUCGCUGGGACGUUACUGACACUGAGGCGCGAAAGCGUGGGGAGCGAACAGG
RNAcentral lists this ribosomal RNA (253 nucleotides) under uncultured bacterium. Its description in RNAcentral is "partial 16S ribosomal RNA". It matches the Rfam family "Bacterial small subunit ribosomal RNA", at positions 524 to 776 of the family's 1533-position model. The record is from RNAcentral.